AGGGUCAAUGAUGAUGUUUAAUUACCUACAUUGUUUGACUUUCCUAUGAGAAUACAACUGUGUCUGAGACCCU
Small nucleolar RNA from Tachyglossus aculeatus (Australian echidna), 73 nucleotides. RefSeq annotates it as small nucleolar RNA SNORD34. The transcript has a single exon. Lineage: Eukaryota; Metazoa; Chordata; Mammalia; Monotremata; Tachyglossidae. The record is from RefSeq and is a predicted model, not a curated record.